Molecule: ribosomal RNA, 499 nt
Filed under: uncultured Lachnospiraceae bacterium
Lineage: Bacteria; Bacillati; Bacillota; Clostridia; Lachnospirales; Lachnospiraceae
Description: partial 16S ribosomal RNA
Source: RNAcentral
CACGUAGUUAGCCGGGGCUUCUUAGUCAGGUACUGUCACUUUCUUCCCUGCUGAUAGAGCUUUACAUACCGAGAUACUUCAUCGCUCACGCGGCGUCGCUGCAUCAGGGUUUCCCCCAUUGUGCAAUAUUCCCCACUGCUGCCUCCCGCAGGAGUCUGGGCCGUGUCUCAGUCCCAAUGUGGCCGGCCGCCCUCUCAGGCCGGCUACUGAUCGUCGCCUUGGUGGGCCGUUACCCCGCCAACGAGCUAAUCAGACGCGGGCCCAUCCCAUACCACCGGAGUUUUCCCCAGGAAGCUAUGCAGCCUCCUGGGCGUAUGCGGUAUUAGCAGCCGUUUCCGGCUGUUAUCCCCCGGUAUGGGGCAGGUUGCCCACGCGUUACUCACCCGUCCGCCACUCAGACAGCUACUGUUCCUCCCCGAAGGGAAUCCCUGCAGCCGCUUCGUUCGACUUGCAUGUGUUAAGCACGCCGCCAGCGUUCAUCCUGAGCCAGGAUCAAACU